UACGGAGGGGGCUAGCGUUGUUCGGAUUUACUGGGCGUAAAGCGCACGUAGGCGGCAUAUUAAGUUAGAGGUGAAAGGCCUGGGCUCAACCUAGGAACUGCCUUUGAUACUGGUAUGCUUGAGUUCGGAAGAGGGUAGUGGAAUUCCAAGUGUAGAGGUGAAAUUCGUAGAUAUUUGGAAGAACACCGGUGGCGAAGGCGGCUACCUGGUCCGAUACUGACGCUGAGGUGCGAAAGCGUGGGGAGCGAACAGG
This 253-nucleotide unclassified non-coding RNA is filed under the name uncultured Rhodospirillales bacterium. RNAcentral's name for it is "contains 16S-23S intergenic spacer region". It matches the Rfam family "Bacterial small subunit ribosomal RNA", at positions 524 to 776 of the family's 1533-position model. The record is from RNAcentral. Lineage: Bacteria; Pseudomonadati; Pseudomonadota; Alphaproteobacteria; Rhodospirillales.